UUAAGCGACUAAGCGUACACGGUGGAUGCCCUGGCAGUCAGAGGCGAUGAAGGACGUGCUAAUCUGCGAUAAGCGUCGGUAAGGUGAUAUGAACCGUUAUAACCGGCGAUUUCCGAAUGGGGAAACCCAGUGUGUUUCGACACACUAUCAUUAACUGAAUCCAUAGGUUAAUGAGGCGAACCGGGGGAACUGAAACAUCUAAGUACCCCGAGGAAAAGAAAUCAACCGAGAUUCCCCCAGUAGCGGCGAGCGAACGGGGAGGAGCCCAGAGCCUGAAUCAGUGUGUGUGUUAGUGGAAGCGUCUGGAAAGGCG
Molecule: ribosomal RNA, 313 nt
Filed under: Escherichia coli
Lineage: Bacteria; Pseudomonadati; Pseudomonadota; Gammaproteobacteria; Enterobacterales; Enterobacteriaceae
Also listed under: 1 other name
Description: partial 23S ribosomal RNA
Rfam family: Bacterial large subunit ribosomal RNA
Source: RNAcentral